This is a microRNA precursor of Bos indicus x Bos taurus (hybrid cattle), 80 nucleotides long. The record is from Ensembl. NCBI's taxonomy places the organism in Eukaryota, Metazoa, Chordata, Mammalia, Artiodactyla, Bovidae.
UUGGGUUGGCAAAAAAGUUUGUUUGGGUUUUUUCAUAACAUUUAAUGGAAAACCCAAACAAACAUUUAGGCCAACCCAAU